GCGCCCGUAGCUCAGGGGAUAGAGCAACGGACUUCUAAUCCGUUGGCCGUAGGUUCGAUUCCUACCGGGCGUGCCA
RNAcentral lists this transfer RNA (76 nucleotides) under Bacillota bacterium. Its description in RNAcentral is "tRNA-Arg". It matches the Rfam family "tRNA". Rfam says of the family: Transfer RNA (tRNA) molecules are approximately 80 nucleotides in length. Their secondary structure includes four short double-helical elements and three loops (D, anti-codon, and T loops). Lineage: Bacteria; Bacillati; Bacillota. The record is from RNAcentral.